AUUUGAUCACUGAAUUUUCUGACCUGUCAUUGUGGAGCCGACCAAGUAGUGUUGCAACAAGGCUGAAAAUCGGAUUAGCUGCAUUUAGAAGAGAAACUUAAACCACUCCAGGUAAAAUAACCUUGUAAAGAAAAAAGUAAGAGUAUUUCAGAGGCCUUGGCUAGGUUCAUGAUGAUACAGGACCUUGUCUGAACAAAGUGAUUUCAAAAUUUGAGCUUAAAAUGACACCCUGAAAUCCAGUCAAUGUGCCUCAUUACUUUUCAGAGAACAUUAUUCUUGAGAGAAUGUUGGCUUGACAUGUGAAAACUUUGAAUACUUAGAAAUGGCAGGUGUAGUAGUACACUUUGCCAGUUACUCAGAUACCCCUUUUUUAUUUUCAUAGAUAUUCUGGGAUAAUUCCUUUUUUUUUUUUUUUUUUUACUAUAUAUAUGUGCAUGCUGAUGAAAGCAAAAAAGAAAGCACAUCCUUGGAUCUGAGAAGGCACGCGUGUGGUGAGAUGGAAGCAAGGACACGCAUAAAGGAAAUUUAGCACCUCUUGGAUCAAACCUUGAAUGCCACAGUGCUAGGUGUUUAACUGAUGUCCAGGAAGGAGAGAAACUAAUAUUAUGAUGAAAUACAAUGAAUGUGUUGGAUAUGAUGGAAGAAAAACAUUUGCAGAUAAUCUGAGUACAGCUGUGACAUCAUCAGGAACAUUCCUCUUUUAUGGAGUUCCUUAAUUCAUAAGUCUUAACCGUGAAUCAAAGGAGAUGAUAAUUCCAAGAAAAGAUACUUUACCAAGUUCAUUUUUAAUCCCAAGAAUCGGUGCCACUGGAUCUCUAUUGCAAUAUUCCUCAUUCAGGUGUUCGUCACUGCCAUCUCUGGUCCUAGGAGUACCCCUUGGCGAUAUGAUUGUGAUGACUGAAUAGGAAACUGAUGCCAUUUCUUCUGACACCAUCUUCAUCAAACCAAAAGAUGGUCUUCAUAAUGUAUGGAGACUCUUUCGUGUGUUGCAGUGGACACUCCUUGCAGAUCAGAAAAACCGGACUGAGAAAGCUCAUGUUUUAAAGUAAUCUAAAGAGUGUAAUUGGAGAGAAUUGUAACCAGGCCUGUUGACAUUGAAUUGUUGCCAUUGGACUAAAUCUCAGGAGCUUGAAUGCCAGAGACGUUAUUACACAGAAUCUCAGGAUGGUGUAAUUGCAAGGCUUCAUUUCAGUGCUCCCAUAAGUAUUAAGUGCAUGUAUUUAUAAUUUUCACUUAUCACAGGAUCAACUUAAGAUUAUUUCAUAAAAAAUCAUCUUGUUCAAGAUUUUAAAGGUAUAGAAAUUUGUGAAGUAUGGUAUUUUUAACUCAUGCCCUUUUCCCCUCAUAAUUCUAUUCUCCAACGUUAUCUACUGUCAGUGUAGUUUUGUGCACAUCUAUUUGGGGUGUGUUGAUAAACAGAUUGAUAUGCAACUCUCUUUUUGGCCCAUAUUAUGUCUAUAAAUUUUCUAUGCCGUAAAAAGGCAUACAGAUAAAUUAUUUUGAUAAUUUCAGAGAAUUGGAACUGCUAGGACUAGGGAUGUCCAAAAAUUUAUGUUUUGAGUCAAAACUACAGCUUUCCCCCUAAUCAUAGAGAGUCCUCAUCAAUAUUGUCUCCCAGUGUUUGUUCAUGAGAGUUCUGUUUCCUAAAAUGGUACACAUGUUAGAUGUCAGUGUUUUAAUCGUUAACAAUGCGAUAUUACGAAGAAAUUGCUUUUUUUCUUCUCUUGUUUGUCUCCAUCAUCUUCGUAUAUCCUUAAUCCUUACUAGUCAUUUGUGUUAUUUCAUUUUCCUCUGCUUUUUUUUUUCCAUUUCCCUUGGAGUAUGAGUGUCUGUGUUGCUCAUUUCUAAAAGCUCAUUUAUAACUAAAGAUGUUAACCAUAUGUCAUGCAUUGCAAGUGAAAUACCAUGUUUUCUUUUCGGCAUCAUUUUACUGUGGUGUUUUAUUUUUUGGUUGUACAAAAGUUAUGUAUUGAAAUACAAUAAUGUUCUGUUUUA
Equus quagga is the source of this 1995-nucleotide long non-coding RNA. RefSeq lists it as uncharacterized. The record is from RefSeq and is a predicted model, not a curated record. Lineage: Eukaryota; Metazoa; Chordata; Mammalia; Perissodactyla; Equidae. The transcript is spliced from 4 exons.